Apodemus sylvaticus (European woodmouse) is the source of this 102-nucleotide small nuclear RNA. Lineage: Eukaryota; Metazoa; Chordata; Mammalia; Rodentia; Muridae. The record is from RefSeq and is a predicted model, not a curated record.
GUGCUCGCUUCGGCAGCACAUAUACUAAAAUUGGAACGAUACAGAGAAGAUUAGCAUGGCCCCUGUGCAAUUCCCCAAUAAAAAGACAUAGACUAAUAGACU